GACAACGCUGGCGGCGUGCCUAACACAUGCAAGUCGAACGGAGUUCCUUGGAUAGAGGCUUCGGCCAAUUGAAUUGGAACUUAGUGGCGGACUGGUGAGUAACGCGUGAGGAACCUGCCUUUCAGAGGGGGACAACAGUUGGAAACGACUGCUAAUACCGCAUGACACAUUCGGGCGGCAUCGCUUGAAUGUCAAAGAUUUUAUCGCUGAAAGAUGGCCUCGCGUCUGAUUAGCUAGUUGGUAGGGUAACGGCCUACCAAGGCGACGAUCAGUAGCCGGACUGAGAGGUUGACCGGCCACAUUGGGACUGAGAUACGGCCCAGACUCCUACGGGAGGCAGCAGUGGGGAAUAUUGGGCAAUGGACGCAAGUCUGACCCAGCAACGCCGCGUGAAGGAAGAAGGCUUUCGGGUUGUAAACUUCUUUUAAGUGGGAAGAGCAGAAGACGGUACCACUUGAAUAAGCCACGGCUAACUACGUG
This 480-nucleotide ribosomal RNA is filed under the name uncultured bacterium. RNAcentral's name for it is "bacterial SSU rRNA". It matches the Rfam family "Bacterial small subunit ribosomal RNA", at positions 32 to 507 of the family's 1533-position model. The record is from RNAcentral.